This 450-nucleotide ribosomal RNA is filed under the name uncultured Glomus. RNAcentral describes it as "SSU rRNA". It matches the Rfam family "Eukaryotic small subunit ribosomal RNA", at positions 569 to 1025 of the family's 1831-position model. The record is from RNAcentral. Lineage: Eukaryota; Fungi; Glomeromycota; Glomeromycetes; Glomerales; Glomeraceae.
AGCAGCCGCGGUAAUUCCAGCUCCAAUAGCGUAUAUUAAAGUUGUUGCAGUUAAAAGCUCGUAGUUGAAUUUCGGGAUCAACAUGCCGAUCGUGCCUCCGGUACGUACUGGUAUCGUUGAUUUCUACCUUCUGACGAAUCACGAUGUCAUUAAUUUGGUGUCGUGGGGAAUCAGGACUGUUACUUUGAAAAAUUAGAGUGUUUAAAGCAGGCACACGCUUGAAUACAUUAGCAUGGAAUAAUGAAAUAGGACGUUUGACCCUAUUUUGUUGGUUUCUAGGAUCGACGUAAUGAUUAAUAGGGAUAGUUGGGGGCAUUAGUAUUCAAUUGUCAGAGGUGAAAUUCUUGGAUUUAUUGAAGACUAACUACUGCGAAAGCAUUUGCCAAGGAUGUUUUCAUUAAUCAAGAACGAAAGUUAGGGGAUCGAAGACGAUCAGAUACCGUCGUAGUC